RNAcentral lists this ribosomal RNA (818 nucleotides) under Palpimanus transvaalicus. Its description in RNAcentral is "eukaryotic LSU rRNA". It matches the Rfam family "Eukaryotic large subunit ribosomal RNA", at positions 68 to 645 of the family's 3401-position model. The record is from RNAcentral. Lineage: Eukaryota; Metazoa; Arthropoda; Arachnida; Araneae; Palpimanidae.
ACAGGGAUUCCUUUAGUAACGGCGAGUGAAUUGGGAAGAGUCCAGCGCCAAAUUCCACGCUGGCAAGGGCGUUGGAAGAUGUGGUGUUAAGGAGGGAACGUACCGGAAGAUGACUAUGCAGAAAGUUCCCUUGACCGGGGCUUCAGCCCAGAGCGGGUGCAAGGCCCAUAUCUGCCAAGUCGGUUCCGGAUGUGACCUCUUUCGAGUCAGGUUGCUUGAGAGUGCAGCCCUAAUCUGGUGGUAAACUCCAUCUAAGGCUAAAUACAUCCGUGAGACCGAUAGCAAACAAGUACCGUGAGGGAAAGUUGUAAAGAACUUUGAAGAGAGAGUUCAAGAGUACGUGAAACUGCCCAGAGGUAAACGGGUGGGAACUCGAAAUCCUGUGGCCGGAGGAUUCAGUCUGGCGGAGAAUGGGCUCGCGUGGGAUACAUACGGUUCCGACAGCGGGCCGUGCCAUGCGUUCAGGUGCCCACGCUCUGCCCAGCGCAUUUCCUUCGGCUCGAAAGGACGCCGCAACCGGUUGGCUCUUUGCCCUAAGACGGCCAUGCGCAUGGUAUAGAGAAGUUGGCUGGUGGUGGGGCUAGCCCUCGUUGCCAGUUCUAGCCCGCCAUUGCUGGCUCGUCAGCCGACCGAGGAAUCUGCAGGUUGCACUCGUGCAGCCUCCACGUCUCCUCUUCUAUGCGGAGAGGGCGACAGAUACGUGCUGGAGAUGAAGAACCACGCACGAGCCGUGGUCGGCACGCCAGAGAUGUCGUUGGUUGCCCCUUGCGCCGCGGGAGUUGCAGAAGGCUAGCGGCGAUUUGAUCGGUAACCCACCC